CCUACGGGAGGCAGCAGUAAGGAAUAUUGGACAAUGCCCGCAAGGGUGAUCCAGCCAUGCCGCGUGCAGGAAGAAGGCCCUAUGGGUCGUAAACUGCUUUUACACCGGAGAAAACCUCCCUUCGUGAAGGGAGCUGAUAGUAUGGUGAGAAUAAGCAUCGGCUAACUUCGUGCCAGCAGCCGCGGUAAGACGAAGGAUGCAAGCGUUAUCCGGAUUCAUUGGGUUUAAAGGGAGCGUAGGUGGACUGAUAAGUCAGUGGUGAAAUCUUCGAGCUUAACUCGGAAAUUGCCAUUGAUACUGUUAGUCUUGAGUACAGUUGCUGUGGGCGGAAUAUGACAUGUAGUGGUGAAAUACAUAGAGAUGUCAUAGAACACCGAUUGCGAAGGCAGCUCGCAAAGCUGUAACUGACACUGAGGCUCGAAAGUGGCGGGAGUACAACGAAGAGUAGUAUACCGUACGGUACGUACCGCGACCGUAACGUAACGUAGUAUUACUCGUCUCGUCGUAGAGGGACGUAACGUUUAAGUU
RNAcentral lists this ribosomal RNA (528 nucleotides) under uncultured bacterium. RNAcentral describes it as "bacterial SSU rRNA". It matches the Rfam family "Bacterial small subunit ribosomal RNA", at positions 338 to 853 of the family's 1533-position model. The record is from RNAcentral.